UCAGGACGAACGCUGGCGGCGUGCUUAACACAUGCAAGUCGAGCGGUAAGGCCUUUCGGGGUACACGAGCGGCGAACGGGUGAGUAACACGUGGGUGAUCUGCCCUGCACUUCGGGAUAAGCCUGGGAAACUGGGUCUAAUACCGGAUAUGACCUCCUAUCGCAUGGUGGGUGGUGGAAAGAUUUAUCGGUGCAGGAUGGGCCCGCGGCCUAUCAGCUUGUUGGUGGGGUAAUGGCCUACCAAGGCGACGACGGGUAGCCGACCUGAGAGGGUGACCGGCCACACUGGGACUGAGACACGGCCCAGACUCCUACGGGAGGCAGCAGUGGGGAAUAUUGCACAAUGGGCGAAAGCCUGAUGCAGCGACGCCGCGUGAGGGACGACGGCCUUCGGGUUGUAAACCUCUUUCAGCAGGGACGAAGCGCAAGUGACGGUACCUGCAGAAGAAGCACCGGCUAACUACGUGCCAGCAGCCGCGGUAAUACGUAGGGUGCAAGCGUUGUCCGGAAUUACUGGGCGUAAAGAGUUCGUAGGCGGUUUGUCACGUCGUUUGUGAAAACUCACAGCUCAACUGUGAGCCUGCAGGCGAUACGGGCAGACUUGAGUACUGCAGGGGAGACUGGAAUUCCUGGUGUAGCGGUGAAAUGCGCAGAUAUCAGGAGGAACACCGGUGGCGGAAGGCGGGUCUCUGGGCAGUAACUGACGC
Molecule: ribosomal RNA, 706 nt
Filed under: Rhodococcus sp. (in: high G+C Gram-positive bacteria)
Lineage: Bacteria; Bacillati; Actinomycetota; Actinomycetes; Mycobacteriales; Nocardiaceae
Description: bacterial SSU rRNA
Rfam family: Bacterial small subunit ribosomal RNA
Source: RNAcentral